AUUGAACGCUGGCGGCAGGCCUAACACAUGCAAGUCGAACGGCAGCGGGGGAUAGCUUGCUAUCCUGCCGGCGAGUGGCGGACGGGUGAGUAAUGCAUGGGGAGCUGCCCAGUCGAGGGGGAUAACAACUGGAAACGGUUGCUAAUACCGCAUACGCCCUAAGGGGGAAAGGUGGGGAACUUCGGUCCUACCGCGAUUGGAUGCGCCCAUGUGGGAUUAGCUAGUUGGUGAGGUAACGGCUCACCAAGGCGACGAUCUCUAGCUGGUCUGAGAGGAAGACCAGCCACACUGGAACUGAGACACGGUCCAGACUCCUACGGGAGGCAGCAGUGGGGAAUAUUGCACAAUGGGGGAAACCCUGAUGCAGCCAUGCCGCGUGUGUGAAGAAGGCCUUCGGGUUGUAAAGCACUUUCAGUCAGGAGGAAGGGGUGAUGGCUAAUAUCCAUCAUCAUUGACGUUACUGACAGAAGAAGCACCGGCUAACUACGUGCCAGCCGCCGCAGUAA
This 506-nucleotide ribosomal RNA is filed under the name uncultured bacterium. RNAcentral describes it as "partial 16S ribosomal RNA". It matches the Rfam family "Bacterial small subunit ribosomal RNA", at positions 30 to 523 of the family's 1533-position model. The record is from RNAcentral.